This 291-nucleotide long non-coding RNA is filed under the name Medicago truncatula (barrel medic). RNAcentral describes it as "lncRNA gene26247". The record is from RNAcentral. Lineage: Eukaryota; Viridiplantae; Streptophyta; Magnoliopsida; Fabales; Fabaceae.
AUGUUGUUUAUUUAUAGUGCAGCGACAAUGGGAGGGGGAAUGGAAGCAAAUACUGCUCCAAAUUUUCCUACACAGUAAAGAAAAAAUAGUAAUUAAUAUAGAGUUGGUUAGUUAGUCUUUUAUUAGGUAGGUAGGUAGUUAGUUAAUUUCUCACAAACUCUGCGUAUAGAGCUUCUCAUGAACUGAUUUACUAUCUUUUAUCAAUAUGAAAUAUUCUAGGGAAUUUUCCUUUCUGUCAUACUCUCAAAUUUAAUGCACACAUGAGAUUCAUCAAAAUCUCUAUGAUCAUGU